UAAGGAAUAUUGCUCAAUGGGAGAAAUCCUGAAGCAGCAACGCCGCGUGGAGGAUGAAGGGUCUAUGACUUGUAAACUCCUGUAAAGAAGGAAAAAAUUCCCAUUAGAUGGGAGAUGAUGGUACUUCUGGAGUAAGCCCCGGCUAACUACGUGCCAGCAGCCGCGGUAAUACGUAGGGGGCAAGUGUUGUCCGGAUUUACUGGGUGUAAAGGGUGCUCAGGCGGAUUUGUAAGUCAGAGGUGAAAUCUUACAGCUUAACUGUGAAACUGCCUUUGAUACUGCAAGCCUAGAGUAUGGAAGAGAGUGGUGGAAUAUCUGGUGUAGCAGUGAAAUGCGUAGAUAUCAGAUAGAACACCAAUGGCGAAGGCAGUCACUUGGUCCAUUACUGACGCUAAAGCACGAAAGCGUGGGUAGCAAACA
This 420-nucleotide ribosomal RNA is filed under the name uncultured bacterium. RNAcentral describes it as "bacterial SSU rRNA". It matches the Rfam family "Bacterial small subunit ribosomal RNA", at positions 355 to 774 of the family's 1533-position model. The record is from RNAcentral.